GACACUGAGGAAAGUCCCCUCUCCGCGAUGCAGGUGGUCCGGCGCAAGCCGGAGGUCCGGGAGGGCCGGCUCUGCAACAGAAACGAACCACGACAGGCGUACUAUGAACCCGAAAGGGGGAGGUUUCCUGAACGUGGCUGGAACGAGCACCCCCACCGGAGCAAGUCCAAGCAGGUCCGUAUGGCAUCGGCAGGACCGGGUAGGACGCAUAGUUGAAU
Molecule: RNase P RNA, 218 nt
Filed under: Candidatus Poseidoniales archaeon
Lineage: Archaea; Methanobacteriati; Thermoplasmatota; Candidatus Poseidoniia; Candidatus Poseidoniales
Also listed under: 1 other name
Description: Marine Group II euryarchaeote (marine metagenome) RNase P RNA component
Rfam family: Archaeal RNase P
About the family: Ribonuclease P (RNase P) is a ubiquitous endoribonuclease, found in archaea, bacteria and eukarya as well as chloroplasts and mitochondria. Its best characterised activity is the generation of mature 5'-ends of tRNAs by cleaving the 5'-leader elements of precursor-tRNAs.
Source: RNAcentral